GACGAACGCUGGCGGCGUGCUUAACACAUGCAAGUCGAACGGAAAGGCCCUGCUUUUGUGGGGUGCUCGAGUGGCGAACGGGUGAGUAACACGUGAGUAACCUGCCCUUGACUUUGGGAUAACUUCAGGAAACUGGGGCUAAUACCGGAUAGGAGCUCCUGCUGCAUGGUGGGGGUUGGAAAGUUUCGGCGGUUGGGGAUGGACUCGCGGCUUAUCAGCUUGUUGGUGGGGUAGUGGCUUACCCAGGCUUUGACGGGUAGCCGGCCUGAGAGGGUGACCGGCGACAUUGGGACUGAGAUACGGCCCAGACUCCUACGGGAGGCAGCAGUGGGGAAUAUUGCACAAUGGGCGGAAGCCUGAUGCAGCAACGCCGCGUGCGGGAUGACGGCCUUCGGGUUGUAAACCGCUUUCGGCUGUGACGAAGCGUGAGUGACGGUAAUGGGUAAAGAAGCACCGGCUAACUACGUG
This 468-nucleotide ribosomal RNA is filed under the name uncultured bacterium. RNAcentral's name for it is "partial 16S ribosomal RNA". It matches the Rfam family "Bacterial small subunit ribosomal RNA", at positions 28 to 507 of the family's 1533-position model. The record is from RNAcentral.